GACGAACGCUGGCGGCGUGCUUAACACAUGCAAGUCGAACGGAAAGGCCCUGCUUUUGUGGGGUGCUCGAGUGGCGAACGGGUGAGUAACACGUGAGUAACCUGCCCUUGACUUUGGGAUAACUUCAGGAAACUGGGGCUAAUACCGGAUAGGAGCUCCUGCUGCAUGGUGGGGGUUGGAAAGUUUCGGCGGUUGGGGAUGGACUCGCGGCUUAUCAGCUUGUUGGUGGGGUAGUGGCUUACCAAGGCUUUGACGGGUAGCCGGCCUGAGAGGGUGACCGGCCACAUUAGGACUGAGAUACGGCCCAGACUCCUACGGGAGGAAGCAGUGGGGAAUAUUGCACAAUGGGCGGAAGCCUGAUGCAGCAACGCCGCGUGCGGGAUGACGGCCUUCGGGGUGUAAACCGCUUUCGCCUGUGACGAAGCGUGAGUGACGGUAAUGGGUAAAGAAGCACCGGCUAACUACGUG
This 468-nucleotide ribosomal RNA is filed under the name uncultured bacterium. Its description in RNAcentral is "partial 16S ribosomal RNA". It matches the Rfam family "Bacterial small subunit ribosomal RNA", at positions 28 to 507 of the family's 1533-position model. The record is from RNAcentral.